This is a non-coding RNA of Podarcis lilfordi (Lilford's wall lizard), 2349 nucleotides long. Lineage: Eukaryota; Metazoa; Chordata; Lepidosauria; Squamata; Lacertidae. The record is from the annotation of a GenBank genome assembly.
GUUUGCUUAAUGAUCUGCUCCAGAAUCUUCCCUGGUAUUGAUGUCAGACUGACUGAUUGGCUGAUGUUCGAUCCUCCUGAUUGUCUGAUGUUCGAAUCAUCUCCGAUUGGUUGCUGGGUCACCAGGAGGCUGGGCCAGGGUCCAUCCAUCACAGAAGGUGAUCAAUUCAUCAACAGCAAUUGUAACUGUCGGGGUCCCAUGGUCUCAGCGGGGCCUUGGGCCUUGAGGUGGCGUGAGCCACCCUUUUAAUUUUCCCACCAACUUACUCCAGUGCAUUGUGGGGAAUUUUAAGCGAGGGGGUGCAGCUAUCCACAUCUGGCCCUGAUCUGGGAGCAUGAGUUUGCCAUGUUCAUCACAUUGGUUGUGAAAGCUGCCCCCGUGAUAUUCCAAGACAGUGCAUUCAGCUCCUGAGAGUUUCGUUUCUCAUGCGCUACGGAGAGAGGGAGGCCUAUGGCCGCUGAGAAACGUUGCUUGGCGAGUUCCCGCGCCUCCCCCAGUGGAAAUAAAGACACAUGACACAAUUAUUAAGGUUAAUGAUCUAAAUAAGGCCACAACUUUAUUGGUUACAGGUGAUGAGUGGUAUUGGCUUAGGCAUUGGUCCUAAUCGACUAUAUCCGGCUUCAGCCCGUCUGCUUGAAGUCCGGGAAGGGUUAACCACCAGUAGGGGGUGUCCUGCUGAUGCACAUCAACUAGGAACCCCCCUGGGGUAACCGCUUGGGGGCGUGCCUUAGGCCCUCACCUCCAUAGGCUUCGGACAGGGCCACGCCCCCCAGAAUCCUUUACUGGACUGCCCUUCAAUAUGCGGGGCAGGUGAUGGUGCUUCCUCCCCUCUUCCAUCUACAGAACAAUACCAAUGCCUAACCGCCAAUACCCAGAAAAUUGUGACGAUUUGCUACCAGGUAGGCGAAAACCAAGUGGCUGGUGCCAGUUUACCAAGUGGAAAAAUUCCCACCAGGCCCUUCAACGGUGACCAACCAAGGUCCAUAGCAAGGUCAAGGAACAAAAACCUUAUAGGGCGGGAGGGUGGGAAACAGGAACAGCUGGUAGGCAGCAAAAGAGGGAGAUUCCUGGCCACGCCUUCCUUAAAUAGGACAGGCCACUCCCCCAGAGCCAGCCGAUUGGCUGGCCAGGGGGUGACACGGCUGGGGAUUCCCCCAAUCGCGCGGGGGAGGGGGCGUUACGCCCGCAACCCCUACCUCCUCUGCAGGGCGGAAGUGGCUUUUUAGGAAAUAGCAGUUGGGAUUCUGAGCCAAGUUUUCCUAUUUGUCCGCAUGGAGUAGUCAACCCUGCUGCUGUGUAACGAGGCACAACUGGAAUGAUCCGUGCCGAUAUUGAACACGGCUCGUUUUGAGCUCUUCCCGGCCGCUGGCUGGUGCACAUCUCUCAGGCGGGCAUGAAUUGAUCGUAUUGAUUGGGGAGUGUUUGGCGCCUGUAGCUGGUUCAGGUGCAACGAUCGAUUCCCUGCAUGUGUGUGUUUUACGACACACAAACCCUCCCGCUUAUGGCAGGAAGAGAUCAGCGGCUCUGACGUGGAGCAGCUGCCAGAGAGGCUUGCAAAGGAACCGUGUGUGUCUCGCUCCUGACAUUUGAAGGGGGGGGGGACCAAAUCCAUUUUAGAAAUUGAUUUAUGCUUUAAUCGGUCUCAGGGCUUCAUUAUGCUGUCCAUUAGCCCGACUGAUCCAGGGGCCUUAUGUGUUAAUGCGCUGAGCGAGCGCUUGAUGGGUUUGUCUUUCAUGUGUGACCCAAACAGCUCAGUGAUCCAUCUCCCCUGCCAUUGAUUUAUUAAUGAUGUCUUAGUUAUUGAAGGGGGGGCGCUUUUAUAGUGCCUUCCUGUCACAUGCGUCCCCUCGAGGAACCAUGGGUCGGGGGAAGCUUCCCCCCGUCUUCAAACCCCCAUUUCCAUUCCUCAUAAGGCGGAAGUAAAAACUCCCCCAAAAUAAGGAACAGAGAUUAAACGCAGCACAGAAAAAACCUCAAUGCGAUGUAACCUUAUUGCAAGCAGAAAGAAUGGAAUCCACAACUAAAUUUUUGCUCUCUUUGUGUGUCUUUCAGAGAAAAGAAAAAACACAGUGCACACACAAAAAGACACCGGGGGGAACUACUUGCAUGAACUAUAAAUUAAGCUAAGAGGGUGUUGUUGAUUUAUUAACUGCGGUGUCCUCCUCAUUGGGGGGGGGGUCUGCUUUUAUAAGGUCUUUCUGCCAUGUGUCUCCUAGAGGAAUGUGAAGAGGAGGAACCUCCAUUUUGUCAAACCUUCAUUUUCAUUCUGAAAGUAUCAUCUCACAGGAGGACUCUACAGUUCAUGGGCUGUUUUUGUUCUGGAGCGCAUGAGUCGCUCUCAGUUCCCCG